GACGAACGCUGGCGGCGUGCUUAACACAUGCAAGUCGAACGGUAAGGCCCUUCGGGGUACACGAGUGGCGAACGGGUGAGUAACACGUGGGUGAUCUUCCCUGCACUUCGGGAUAAGCCUGGGAAACUGGGGCUAAUACCGGAUAGGACCACUGCCUGCAUGGGUGGUGGUGGAAAGCUUUUGCGGUGUGGGAUGGGCCCGCGGCCUAUCAGCUUGUUGGUGGGGUGAUGGCCUACCAAGGCGACGACGGGUAGCCGGCCUGAGAGGGUGACCGGCCACACUGGGACUGAGAUACGGCCCAGACUCCUACGGGAGGCAGCAGUGGGGAAUAUUGCACAAUGGGCGCAAGCCUGAUGCAGCGACGCCGCGUGAGGGAUGACGGCCUUCGGGUUGUAAACCUCUUUCAGCACCGACGAAGCGCAAGUGACGGUAGGUGCAGAAGAAGGACCGGCCAACUACGUGCCAGCCGCCGCGGUAA
This 478-nucleotide ribosomal RNA is filed under the name uncultured bacterium. Its description in RNAcentral is "partial 16S ribosomal RNA". It matches the Rfam family "Bacterial small subunit ribosomal RNA", at positions 28 to 523 of the family's 1533-position model. The record is from RNAcentral.